UGGGGAAUAUUGCACAAUGGGCGCAAGCCUGAUGCAGCCAUGCCGCGUGUAUGAAGAAGGCCUUCGGGUUGUAAAGUACUUUCAGCGAGGAGGAAGGCAUUGUGGUUAAUAACCGCAGUGAUUGACGUUACUCGCAGAAGAAGCACCGGCUAACUCCGUGCCAGCAGCCGCGGUAAUACGGAGGGUGCAAGCGUUAAUCGGAAUUACUGGGCGUAAAGCGCACGCAGGCGGGCUGUCAAGUCGGAUGUGAAAUCCCCGGGCUCAACCUGGGAACUGCAUCCGAAACUGGCAGGCUAGAGUCUUGUAGAGGGGGGUAGAAUUCCAGGUGUAGCGGUGAAAUGCGUAGAGAUCUGGAGGAAUACCGGUGGCGAAGGCGGCCCCCUGGACAAAGACUGACGCUCAGGUGCGAAAGCGUGGGGAGCAAACA
RNAcentral lists this ribosomal RNA (427 nucleotides) under uncultured bacterium. RNAcentral's name for it is "partial 16S ribosomal RNA". It matches the Rfam family "Bacterial small subunit ribosomal RNA", at positions 355 to 774 of the family's 1533-position model. The record is from RNAcentral.